CUUAAAUGAAUUGACGGGGCCCGCACAAGCGGUGGAGCAUGUGGUUUAAUUCGAUGCAACGCGAAGAACCUUACCUGGGCUUGACAUCCCGGGAAUCCCUUAGAAACAAGGGAGUGCCCUUCGGGGAACCUGGAGACAGGUGCUGCAUGGCUGUCGUCAGCUCGUGUCGUGAGAUGUAGGGUUAAGUCCCGCAACGAGCGCAACCCUUGUCUUUAAUUGCCAUCAUUGAGUUGGGCACUUUAAAGAGACUGCCGGUGUUAAACCGGAGGAAGGUGGGGAUGACGUCAAGUCCUCAUGGCCUUUAUGCCCAGGGCUACACACGUGCUACAAUGGGUGGUACAACGAGUUGCGAGUCGGUGACGGCGAGCUAAUCUCUUAAAGCCAAUCUCAGUUCGGAUUGUAGGCUGCAACUCGCCUACAUGAAGUCGGAAUCGCUAGUAAUCGCGGAUCAGCACGCCGCGGUGAAUACGUUCCCGGGCCUU
RNAcentral lists this ribosomal RNA (482 nucleotides) under uncultured Syntrophus sp. RNAcentral's name for it is "bacterial SSU rRNA". It matches the Rfam family "Bacterial small subunit ribosomal RNA", at positions 900 to 1382 of the family's 1533-position model. Lineage: Bacteria; Pseudomonadati; Thermodesulfobacteriota; Syntrophia; Syntrophales; Syntrophaceae. The record is from RNAcentral.